GACGAACGCUGGCGGCGUGCUUAACACAUGCAAGUCGAACGGUGAAGCGCCUUCCUUUUUGGUGGGUGUGGAUGAGUGGCGAACGGGUGAGUAACACGUGAGUAACCUGCCCCCUUCUUCUGGAUAACCGCAUGAAAGUGUGGCUAAUACGGGAUAUUCUGGGUCUGUCGCAUGAUGGGUCUGGGAAAGAUAUUGUUUCGGUGGGGGAUGGGCUCGCGGCCUAUCAGCUUGUUGGUGGGGUGAUGGCCUACCAAGGCGGUGACGGGUAGCCGGCCUGGGAGGGUGGACGGCAACAGUGGGACUGAGCCACGGACCAGACUCCUACGGGAGGCAGCAGUGGGGAAUAUUGCACAAUGGGAGCAAGGCUGAUGCAGCGACGCCGCGGGAGGGAUGGAGGCCUUCGGGUUGUGAACCUCUUUCGCCAGUGAAGCAGGCCUGCCUCGUUUGUGGGUGGGUUGACGGUAGCUGGAUAAGAAGCGCCGGCUAACUACGUG
This 494-nucleotide ribosomal RNA is filed under the name uncultured bacterium. Its description in RNAcentral is "partial 16S ribosomal RNA". It matches the Rfam family "Bacterial small subunit ribosomal RNA", at positions 28 to 507 of the family's 1533-position model. The record is from RNAcentral.